RNAcentral lists this long non-coding RNA (2047 nucleotides) under Equus caballus (horse). RNAcentral's name for it is "lncRNA (ENSECAG00000059737.1)". Lineage: Eukaryota; Metazoa; Chordata; Mammalia; Perissodactyla; Equidae. The record is from RNAcentral.
CAAUCUAGCACUUUUAGGUGUUAACAUUGUACUAAGAUGAAGCAAGAAAGUAACGGCUCAGUACGUGUGAAACCAAGAAGGACAAUGUGCGGAUGGUGUGGGCAAGGUCAAGGGAGCCCGUGAAGAAAGAGCAAGCAAUCAGGCUCUGGGACUAGCUGCAGGAAAAAAUAUUUAUCUUGGCACGAGGGGAAACACGAAGGAGGCACAGUGUUCCCAGAACCCAGCAAGGGCUUACAACUGGGAAGGGGACUUCCCAGGAGGAGCAAGUUAGGAAGUUGUGAAGGUGGCACGAGUGGAGGUAGCAGGCAGAAGCAAAGUCAGAAGCAGCCACCAUGGCAAACGUGAGAAAUGGCAUGGAGUUGGGCUGGCAUCACUGAUUGGAGCAAGGGCUACGGGGCUAGUCAUUUCUUUGGGCCGGGACUGAGGUUUGUACGUGCCAUUCCAGUCCCAUGGGAGGCAAAGCCCCAGCACCAGGUAAGCAGCGCAGAGUUCUGUGUCUGGAGUAUCCUGGGUAGGUGGCAUCUCAGAAAUGCAAACCAUCUACUUCCCCAUCCACCACCAUCUAUCAGGAAUAUGUUACGCAUUUGCAUUUUAAUAGGCAUUUUAUAUGCUUUCUCCUUUAGUCCUCAUUAACGAUGCUUUUUUUUUUUACAAAAAAAAAAAAACUCAUUGUAUAGAUGAUCAUUAAAGCUCAAAGAGAUAAAGAAGAAACUCACUCAAGGUCACACAAUUUAACUUUGGAAGACUCUGAUUCCCAAAUCCACGCUACUUUAUGCUGAGCCGUGCUCUGCCUGGAUUCAAUCUCUAGUCCCAUAGACAUGAUCCAGCUGGGACGAGUGACCAUGUUGGAGAAGAACUAUGGGCCUGCCUAAAGUUGGUGUCAGAAGUUUGUGUUGGGAUGGGGCUUCAACCUCAACAUCAAGAGAAAAACAACGAAUAGCAAUGGCUGUUACCUUAUCCUCUGACAUUGCCAUGUGACCAUGUCCUACUGUCGUUAAAGUUAGGGGCUUUCAUCACACAUGCCUGCACUCACCCUCAGUCUUUACCUCAGACAUGCCAAAUGAUCUUUGCCAAAUUACUCAACUUUUCUAAGCUUUUGUUUUCCCAUCUCUAAAAAAGGAAUUAACAGUUUUCUUCUUCAUGGAACGGUUGUGAGAAUUCAGUGAAAUCACGUAGGGAAAGCAUUUUGUACAGCACCCAGAACCAGAUUUCUGGAUCCUAAAACCUUGUAGCAUAUGUACACUUGUUAACUUGCUAUCAUGAGUUACUGUUUGUCAUCCAUGUCUGUGUAAUUAAAAGAGUUGAUGUGCUUAUAUUUAGGAGAACCAAAGAAAGAAAUCAGAAUGGAAAAGGAAGGCCCAAGUUAGAGUAAAUAGAGGCACUUCCAGGAGGGGAGGAGAUAUGACCAAAUCCCUGAGGCUUGGGAGAAGAAAGGAGGAAACCAGGCUGAGUGGGGCUCACCCACCAUAUAAAACUCUUUAGUUCACAGGUUCUCAGCCUUGGCUGCAUGUUGGACUCACCUCAGAGUAUUGAGCAUGCCUGGGCUGCACCCCAGAGAUCCUGGCUUAAUUGGUCUGGGUGUCAGGAGCUGUAGCAUUUGCCUGAUCAUGAGUCUACUGUGCAGCAAAGUGUCUGCUUAAGCGUCAUAUUAGCAUAUCUGUCUCCUCUUCCUCAGCCACUCCAGGCAUCUGUUUUGAAAUCCACUGAACAUGGCUCCCAUUCAAAUUUUCCAGGAUCUCCACAAUAUCACAUCUUUCUCAUUCUCAUCCUUCUUAUCACCCUUUUGGGUUUGUAACAGAAUAUGACUGUCCUAGCCUAGACAUGACAUGGGUCACAGUUGCUUUGACUUCUGUUCUCCAUCCAUUCUGGACACGCCAGUGACCAUCAAGCAGGGGCAGACCCCACGUCCUCUACCCUGCCCAGGCCUGUCCUGUUUGCUAAUGAAGACUGUGAGUCCCUAGAUGCAGAGUUGGAGUCCUGGUUACCUUUGCAGUCCCAGCCCUGACCCAAGGCAGUGGGUGCAGUCUGAAGGCAAUCAUGAGCCAAA